AUUGAACGCUGGCGGCAGGCCUAACACAUGCAAGUCGAGCGGAUGAAGGGAGCUUGCUCCUGGAUUCAGCGGCGGACGGGUGAGUAAUGCCUAGGAAUCUGCCUGGUAGUGGGGGAUAACGUCCGGAAACGGGCGCUAAUACCGCAUACGUCCUGAGGGAGAAAGUGGGGGAUCUUCGGACCUCACGCUAUCAGAUGAGCCUAGGUCGGAUUAGCUAGUUGGUGGGGUAAAGGCCUACCAAGGCGGCGAUCCGUAACUGGUCGGAGAGGAUGAUCAGUCACACUGGAACGGAGACACGGACCAGACUCCUACGGGAGGCAGCAGUGGGGAAUAUUGGGCAAUGGGCGAAAGCCUGAUCCAGCCAUGCCGCGUGUGUGAAGAAGGUCUUCGGAUUGUAAAGCACUUUAAGUUGGGAGGAAGGGCAGUAAGUUAAUACCUUGCUGUAUUGACGUUACCAACAGAAGAAGCACCGGCUAACUUCGUG
Molecule: ribosomal RNA, 484 nt
Filed under: uncultured bacterium
Lineage: Bacteria
Description: partial 16S ribosomal RNA
Rfam family: Bacterial small subunit ribosomal RNA
Source: RNAcentral